GUCGUCCUAGGUGGGUCUCGAACCCAGGUCCCUGGAGCUGUGAGGCAGCAGCGCUAACCACUGUGACGCUCCACGGGCCACAGCUAGAAGACUGUAUACAAUUCUGGUCACCCCACUAUAGGCAGGAUGUUAUUGUACUAGAAAGGCCGCACAGGAGAUUCACCAGGAUGUUUCCUUAAAGCAGAGAAGGCUGAGAGGGAACCUGACUGUGUUGCAAAAUUAUGAAAGGCAUAGAUCAACAGGAAGAAAUCUCUCCCUUCUUUUAGAUGGGUCAAUACAAUGGACAUAAUGUAAAGUAAGAGACAGAAUGUUUAGAGAGAAAUUGAAACAUUUUUUCACCUAGAGGGUUGUGCAUGUCUGGAACUCACAGCCUGAAAGGAUGGUAGGAGUAGAAGUAGCUAUAUCGUCACAUGUACUCACGAGUACAGUGAAAAGUUUAAAUGUCACCACUGGAUAUCUAGGUAAAAUUAGAUAUCUAACCCAUGCAGGGCCUUGAUUCCAUGUCAUGCAGGGCUUCACCUCAAGACUCUCGAGGCUGGGAGACUGCUCUGGAAUCAUGUCGACGCUGGGAGUCCACGCUGGGCUGCAAAAAGACCACCAUGCCAAGCUGAGAGAUCAACAUACUGGGUUCACACUGAGUCUGAAUCUACAGUGGGGCCAGGAGUUCAGGACAUCGUCAAGAAGAAACAAGGAAAGAAAACAGAAAAAAGAAAUGGAAGAGAAAAAGAAAGAAAAGAAGUGGAUGGAGCGAAUGAGCUCUGGCUGAGGCUUUCUACUCCACUGCCAUCUUGGAUCUGAAUAUUUCUCUUGGCUUUCUUCCCAUAGAAUGAACUAUAAGAAGAGUGGAAGAAAGCAUACCACCCAUCAGUCCAGGACACAAAGUUCUGGCUCCAGUAGGAAUCAUCACAACAUUUAAGAAGUAUCUGGAUGAACAUUAAAUGUUACAGCAUACAAGGCCUAGUAUUUAUGAAUUCCUGUGGCAUAAUGAUAGUAUUAUUUUUUGCAUCGAUGUCUGAAGUCUGUGUGUGAUAUGGGAGUCAAUGUAUCAGCACACCAACUGGCAUGCACAGAGCCUGGCUCAUAUAAAUAAUUAAACAUGUUGUUGGUUACAGUGGCUCUACCUUCUGAUUCAAGAUCUUACCAAAUAAUCAACAGUGUUAGCUCCAGGCAUCGGCUCCCUCUGAUGGUUACAUGUAAAUAUACAAAAUCCUACAAGCAGAUCUCACCAUGACCUUCAGAAUGAUACACAGUUGCUUUUGAGAGCCUUCAGCCUUCCCAGGUCAACAUCUUGGAGUGCUGUAAGUUUCUGGAAAUCUUCUUUAGCUGCCUGAAUUGGCUGUCUUUCCUUUGCUGCCAACAGUUCUUUGUAUUUUCAGAAUUGGCCUUGAAAAUUUCGAUAUCUGACUGUAAUCCAUUCAUUUGACUUUGUACCUUAUUUCUUGCAACAGUAGAAUCUUUUGGAAUUGUCUGGGGAAGUUGAAUGAUUGGGGAAGUUGGUGGGCGGCACAGUGGUUAGCACUACUGCCUAACAAAGCUAGAGACCCGGGUUCAAUUGCCGC
Molecule: long non-coding RNA, 1559 nt
Organism: Chiloscyllium plagiosum (whitespotted bambooshark)
Lineage: Eukaryota; Metazoa; Chordata; Chondrichthyes; Orectolobiformes; Hemiscylliidae
Source: RefSeq, a predicted model, not a curated record